Long non-coding RNA from Andrographis paniculata, 2404 nucleotides. RefSeq lists it as uncharacterized. The transcript has 5 exons. NCBI's taxonomy places the organism in Eukaryota, Viridiplantae, Streptophyta, Magnoliopsida, Lamiales, Acanthaceae. The record is from RefSeq and is a predicted model, not a curated record.
UCGAUUUUCAUUUUCCAAACAAACAUAGUGGCUCUUUUUUUUGGUCCUUCGUAAUUCUUUCAUUUUCCAAACAAACAUAGUGGCUCUUUUUUUCGGUCCUUCAUAAUUCUUUCUCGCAAUAUUCCUCGCACACAAUAUUCACACCCAAUCGUUGCCAAAUCUUUCAUCCCAACUGGCGAUUCAUCCCAAUCAAACCGGCGAUUGCCGGCGUUCGAAGGAAGUUGGCGACGGAGAACCUGUACCCUAUCAAUCUCCCAAUCUUUGCCAAACCCUUCAUCUCAAUCAAACCGGCGAUUCAUCCCAAUUGAACCGGCGGUUGCAUCUGAAGAAGGUGGGCGACGAUUCAUCCCAAUCGAACGGGUGAUUGCAUCUGAAGAAGGUGGGCGACAGACAACCUGUAUCCAAUCGAUUCUCAAUCUUCGCCAAACCUUUCAUCCCAAUCAAACCGGCGGUUGCCGGCGACUGAAAGAGGUGGGUAACAGACAACCUAUAUCCAAUCGAUCUCUGGUGGGAUCUUCUUGUCGAUUUCUCUCCUAUUCUCUUCUUCUCUUCUAUUUGUAUUUGAGUACUUCCAAAUAAUUUCGAAGGUAUUCACAGGCAGCUUGAUAAUAACAACUUUGGUGGCUGUCCAAUACCGUGCUCAUAUGGAAACAUAUCUAACUUGAUGAUGUUGUAAGUGAAUGUAUUAUUCUCUUUGAGCAAUUUUUCAGUUUUUCAAACGCUUCCUUUUCUUUAAAUUUAAAAUUUUCUCACAAGUUUGAGAAUGAAUGUGCAGGAGUUGUAUUCUUAGAUAUAUAUGCAUAAUAAUUCUUUGUUAACAAUCUGCUUUAUUUGUAUGUAUUAGGAGUAUGAAGUACUGUAUUUUACAAAGUUCGAGUCAUGAUUGAAGGAAUAGUCCACAUAUUGCUUAUAUGUAAGUAAGUGGACAUUAAAAUAGUCUAAGUUAUUACUUUCGGCUCAAUAGUCCUUUAUCGAAGUUGUUUGGUGUGGUUUUUCUUUACCUAUACUUAUAAGUAUAAUCUAUAACAUGCUAUAUAAUAUAAAGGAAAAACAUUAAAAAAACAAAAGCGCUAAAUGUACUAAUUUCGAACACUCUACAACAAAUACGAAAAGCACUGCAAUUAGAAUUAUAGAGCACAAAGUAAGUAUAAUCUAUAACAUGCUAUAUAAUAUAAAGGAAAAACAUUGAAAAAACAAAAGCGCUAAAUAUACUAAUUUCGAACACUCUACAACAAAUACCACUACUAAAAAAAUGGCCAUUUGUAGCAAAAUCGCAUCCGUUACAAUUUUUUUGUUACAAAAGAUAUUUUUUGUUCCGGUUAUUACCGUAACAAAUUGUGUUUUCGAUUUGGUCAACCUUUUUCCUUUUGUUGCGGUAUUGUUUCGUUACAACUACAAAAUAAUUUUAUUUUAAAUUUCAAACUAAAUCUAAAAUAAUAUAUCAUAUUUAGAGAACAUAUAUAUCAUAUAUAAUACAUACAUAAUACUUAUACUUAUAUAUUAAUCUAUACAAAUUAAAAUAAUUAUUUAUUUAAAAAAUAAAAUUACUAUAUACAAUUAAAAAAUAUAAAUGAAAUAAAAUAUUCAACUUUACCAUUGCAUAACCCUAAUUGUCGCAGCCUCCCCCCUCAUUUUCCUCUGAUUUUUUUGAUCCUUUUCUUCUAUGUUCUUCUCUGCGUUCUUCUUCAUCUUGCGUCUUUGUCUUCGUCUUCUUCGUUCUUCUUCUUGCGUCUUCGUCUUCUUCUUCUUCGUCUUCCUACAUCACCUUCCUUGGCCGUCCACCGUGCUCCGCCGCACCCUUCAUCAACCCAUCGAUCGCGCUCCGCCGCUGCCCGCUGAUGUCCUCAAAUGCGAACCCUAAUUUUUCCUGUAGACAGGCUUUAGACAUUGUACAGAAGUUGGGAAGAUGACCCAGAUGUUGAGUUUGUAGUUUUGAAGAUUUUCUUUUUACCUCCCAACUCACUUGUAUUUUAUUUUCUUGUUUUCGCCUAACAUAUGGUUGGAAAAUUUUGAAAGGUAGAGAGACAAGACAUUUGUAGCUAGUGGUGAUAUUGUGUCCAUCUAUAAUAUGUUGAAAGAAGGAAAUCUAGAAACUUGCAAGCAUUUCUUCUGGAUAAUAUAUAGUUUUAUAUACUUUCUCGGUUAUACCAUUAAUAUAGUAAAGGUUUUUUUCACGGCUGCUACCGUUCCGGAGGCUGUGCUAAUUCACGAACGAUAUCUGAAGUGCAAACACUCUGUGAGUUUGUCCACGUCGAGCCAAUCGAAUGGAUAUUCAAGGAUCUCGUUCGUCACGUAACUUCCGUGUAUGUUCACUUUGACGCUGCAUGGGGCGAUGUAGCAUUUCAUGUAAUUUUAUGAUGAUAACUUUUGUUUGUGGAUUGAUACUGACUAAGUUCUUUACGUA